RNAcentral lists this ribosomal RNA (1680 nucleotides) under Triticum aestivum (bread wheat). RNAcentral describes it as "partial small subunit ribosomal RNA". Lineage: Eukaryota; Viridiplantae; Streptophyta; Magnoliopsida; Poales; Poaceae. The record is from RNAcentral.
AUGGCGACCGCGCUGCGUCUCGCGCGGGACUCUCCGGCGGCCGUCUCCAAGCUCGGGAGGGAGAGGGCCUCGCUGUGCGCCAUCGCUAGGCCGGGUGGGCAAUGCUGUGCGCGGAGGGGGCUGGUGCUCCGCUGCCAGAGCGGGGCGGCCGCAGCGGCGGCCACCACUAUCAGGAAGGGCGAGGCGGCGGAUGGAGCCGGGGCAGCGGCGGGGUUCACCGUCGUGAUGAAGUUCGGCGGCUCGUCGCUGGCGUCGGCCGCGCGGAUGCGGGAGGUGGCCGACCUCGUCCUCAGCUUCCCCGAGGAGACGCCCGUCGUCGUCCUCUCCGCCAUGGGGAAGACCACCAACAACCUCCUCCUGGCCGGAGAGAAGGCGGUGAGCUGCGGCGCCCCCAAGGCGUCGGAAAUCUACGAGCUCGCCGUCAUCAAGGAGCUCCAUCUCAGGACCAUCGAUGAGCUUGGCCUAGAUAGCUCCAUUGUUUCAGGUUUUUUGGACGAGUUGGAGCAACUGCUCAAGGGUGUUGCUAUGAUGAAAGAGCUGACUCUUAGGACACGAGAUUACCUUGUUUCCUUUGGUGAAUGCAUGUCUACAAGAAUAUUUUCUGCAUAUUUGAAUAAACUAGGGAAGAAGGCACGACAGUAUGAUGCUUUUGAUCUUGGCUUUAUAACCACUGACGAUUUCACAAAUGCCGAUAUUCUCGAAGCAACUUAUCCUGCUGUUGCAAAGAGGCUACAUGGAGAUUGGAUUGAUGACCCUGCUAUUCCUAUAGUGACUGGUUUCCUUGGGAAGGGAUGGAAAUCUUGUGCGGUCACAACGUUAGGAAGGGGCGGCAGUGACUUGACCGCUACAACCAUUGGCAAAGCCUUGGGGUUAAGAGAAAUUCAGGUUUGGAAGGAUGUAGACGGUGUGUUGACGUGUGAUCCAAAUAUUUAUGCAAACGCGGUAGCAGUACCCUACUUGACUUUUGAUGAGGCAGCUGAACUUGCUUAUUUUGGUGCACAGGUUUUGCAUCCCCAAUCCAUGCGACCAGCCAGGGAAGGUGGUAUCCCAGUUCGAGUGAAGAACUCAUAUAACCGUCAUGCACCUGGCACUGUGAUCACUAAAACAAGAGAUAUGCGCAAGAGCAUAUUAACCAGCAUUGUCCUGAAAUCAAAUAUUACCAUGCUGGAUAUAGUGAGCACAAGGAUGCUCGGACAGUAUGGCUUUCUAGCAAAGGUCUUCUCAAUAUUUGAAGAUUUGGGUAUCUCUGUUGAUUCUGUGGCUACUAGUGAAGUCAGCAUAUCAUUGACACUAGAUCCAUCAAAACUGUGGAGUCGUGAAUUGAUCCAGCAGGAGCUUGAUCAUGUAGUUGAAGAGCUUGAAAAGAUUGCGGUUGUUCAUCUCCUACAGCACAGAUCAAUCAUUUCCCUGAUAGGGAAUGUGCAGAGAUCGUCUCUGAUUCUUGAGAAGGCGUUCAAUGUUCUACGCAGAAAUGGUGUUAAUGUUCAGAUGAUUUCGCAAGGGGCGUCCAAGGUGAACAUCUCCUUGGUGGUGAAUGACAGCGAGGCGAAGCAGUGCGUGCAAGCCCUCCACUCGGCAUUCUUUGAGAACGGUUUCUUGUCAGAAGUAGAGGAAGCGGACCUUGCGCAGAAGAGGGCUCCAGUCCUAGUAAGCUCGAAUGGUGCCAUCAACGGAAACUAG